Streptomyces variegatus is the source of this 88-nucleotide non-coding RNA. The record is from Rfam. Lineage: Bacteria; Bacillati; Actinomycetota; Actinomycetes; Kitasatosporales; Streptomycetaceae.
CGGUUACAUUCCGAACCCGGAAGCUAAGCCUUACAGCGCCGAUGGUACUGCAGGGGGGACCCUGUGGGAGAGUAGGACGCCGCCGAAC